AGUUAAUUAAUUUAAUAAAAAUUUUUAUUUUGAAAAUAAAACUUAGAAUCUUAUUCUAUUAACUUA
Molecule: transfer RNA, 66 nt
Filed under: Schlechtendalia peitan
Lineage: Eukaryota; Metazoa; Arthropoda; Insecta; Hemiptera; Aphididae
Description: tRNA-Ser
Source: RNAcentral